This is a non-coding RNA of Phasianus colchicus (ring-necked pheasant), 3606 nucleotides long. NCBI's taxonomy places the organism in Eukaryota, Metazoa, Chordata, Aves, Galliformes, Phasianidae. The record is from RefSeq and is a predicted model, not a curated record.
UACAAGCUCUGGCAGCAGACCUCUCUAGAUUGCAGGUUAGGGUGACAAAGUGGUGCUUCUGUACCCCUCAGAAGAAAAUUGCCCACUACUUUCACCCAUUGUUUUUUCUUAGUUGCAGUAGUUAUUACGCGACAGGGAGCAGGUCUGGCUGCCUUACAUAGUUCAGAUGACUUACCUGUUAUUGUUUCCUUUUCCUUCUCAGGCUGGAGAACUGCAGAGGCACCUCUUAGAGUGCCUAAAUCCUGCAGAGGCUUAGAGGCAGGCUUUUUCCCCGUGUUGUUUUUUCUCAUGGCAGCUUGCCAUUUCUCAUCACUGUUUCCCCUCCAACUGGAUAUGCCAGUUGGGGGAGUUUAGGGUUAUUUGGGCCUAUACUGUGUAUUCAAUGCAGAUUGCACGUAAAUCUGGCUAACUGUCUCAAUCCCUGCCUCCCAUAUAGCACACAGCCUUUUCACUGUCUCCUGCAGGGUCAGUCAACUGUUGCAGGAGGUCUUCCACCUGGGCACACCUUACGCAGGCAAGUUUGCCACUCACCUCUGCUCCAGCUGAAAGGUGCAGGCACUUCCCACAUACCAUGGUCUGCAAAGAUACAUCUUUAUUUAGAAGCUCAGUCUGAGUGGAGGCACUGAUGAUGACUGGGGUAGGUGGUACACACUCCCCUGCCAGAGCUGCAGCCUUAGCUUGGCAUUGUACAUGCACCAUUCUGCUUUGAAGGUCACUUGGAAUGAGUGCCUCCUUGCUUCUGAAGCCAGUAAAACUGUAGUGCCCUGCCAUGCAUGCUACAGCUCCACCUGUUACAGCACACAACCAGUGUACAAGUGACACCUGUGCUCUGUUCGCCCACCCUGUACUUGGUGGGCAACAACUUGUCAGUGCUUUCCCUGAGGAAAAGAACAUGGUAUGGCCUCUGUUGCCUUGGCAACACCCACCUCUGUCAUAAGAGCACAUUGCUGGAGGGUUGUUCCGCUGUCUCGGUGUUUCCCUGGCAAAGGAAACCCCCAGGCCCCCUCCUACCUUGAGAUCCGUUGCUCUGGUUCUGGUUGGGCCGGCUCUGAAGCAGCUGCCCUUGAUGACUUAGUUCUGGGUUUCAGCCAUUUAAAUCUCCUGCUAUGUCAGCCACUCUUGCGAGAGCUGCCCAUUGCUGGAGGGUCCCUCCACUGUCUCGGCAUUGCUGCAGUUUCAUGUUCAUGUUAAGCUGUCACUGAAACCUAACUUGACAAAAUGAUUUCUUCUAACCUGGGUAGUGAUUGCUGUGGCUAUAAUAUUUUCUGGUUCUUAAGUUCUUCUGCUGUACCUGCCUUUCUGGAUUAGAAACUGACAACCAUCUGAGGAGCUGCAGGAAUUCCACUGUUGACAACAGAAACUCAGCUGGAUGGAACCAUAUCUGUGGUCACUGAUUCAGCACUCCAUGCCAAAGGUGAAAAACAGGAGCCUUUGUGGGGAAGACUCAAAAAGAUUCCUGCUCACAACCAGUACAGGGCAGGACACGUGUGAAGAGGUGGGAAUAUAUUGUAAUGAGUUUUUGGAACUGCUUAUGCUAAUCCAGCCCCUUUCUCAGAAAUCUCAUGCAUAUGUAUAAUACUAUGCAAUAAAUAUGCAAUUGAUGAGUGUCUGGGUGUGCAAGUUAGGUGAACUGAUUCCCUUUACACCUAGUGCCAUAAUAAACAUACCUGCUUUAUAAUUUUGUGAGUUGUAGAGUUUGAUUCUGCACAUUACUACAUAGGUGAAUAUUGCUAUUCUAUGUUUGUUAUGUAAGUGAUGCAAAUAAUAUCACUAAAACUGUGAUAGCACUGAGGACAACCAGUAGGAAAUAGUUUCCGUGGAUGGAAUGUAAAAUAUACCUGAAUGGAAGUGUGGGCAACUUCAUUAUAGGGAAAUGUAAAUCCUAAGUAAAUACACUAGAACAGGAGGAUUUAAUCAUUUACACCUAUUUUUAUGUUGAUUAUAGUGAAACUGAUUUUUCUUUUAGUUCCACUAAUUGCAUAGGGAGAGCACAAGUUGAAUUUUCAAAUAUUUUGUGAAAGAGAGAAAAUGUAGAGCAAUAGAGAAGAUUUUCAUCGUUACAGUGCCUAAGGUAAAGUUUGCAGAAAACUGGCUUUCCAGUAGUAGCUAAAUGGGGGAUGGGAUUAGUGACAGUAACAGAUUGAGUAUAGCCCAGUGAUCAUCAGAAAUAUGAUGACUGCACCAGAAAUGAGACAAAUGUGAGGUGUUAAGGUAGGCUGGAGAUCGGUUUGAAAAGAUCACUGAGCCCAGACCUACCUACAAAGCUUGGAAAAAGACUGCAGGCUCCAACCAGAAAUUAAAUAGACCAUAGGAUGACAGUGUGUGGAUGGAGGUCUCACAUUAAGCUGCUUGGAGUAAUAGAGUAUGUAUGAAUAGAUCUUAGUCUUUUUUGAUAGUUUUUUCAUAGAGGGAAAAUACUUUUCUCUUGGAUUAAGCUUUAGCUACUUUCAUUUUCACCCAGUAGAGCUCUGUGUUACAAAACAAUAAAAAAAGCAUCAAAUGCUGUUCUCAUUAACAACACCCAAACAGAAUAUCUUUUGUAUAAAGUUUAUCCCAGCCUUAUUAAUUGAGGAUAAUUGUAACUUUGCCCCCCCACAAGAGGGGGGGGGGAAAAGCUUCCAUCUCUGAGCUAUACUUCAUAUUUUAUAAUUCUUGUUAUGAUUGAAGGCACUACAGAACCCGGAACCUCAAGGCACGAUGCAUCCCCACACAGCCCAAGUCAAGUGCUAUCCCUAAAAAGCUUACGAAGUAGGUGAAAAAAUGUUUGAAAGAAGUCUCACAAAAUUUAUACAGAGUGAGAGUCUGAGGACUUUGAGGAGUGCGUGGACUUUGGCUUCCUCUUGUUUGCAGAAGAAAUAUUUUUCACCUGAAGCUGAAGUCAAACAGUCACUGCAAAACACUGUCAUAGCAUGAUGUAAAAUGCUUUCUAUGGCAGCCAAAUUAGCAUGUAUUAGAGAAGACUAUAAGGUUCUAAAGAAUCAGGUUUUAUGGAUUUAAUGUUUUUUUUUGGGGGGGGGGAAGGAGGGACAGGAAAAGAGGCAGGUUUGAGGUACAGAUGGGGACACAGCUGGUGAUUGUAGCCAGUAUUUGUUAACUGAGUUACUAAAUUUUGUUUGUCUUUGUUGGCAAGAGUUACUAAAAUACUUGAUUAUGGCAUUUGAUUCCCUUCUUUGUCAAGAGGAAAACUCUAGUUAAAUCACUCUUUGAAGAGUAGUCACUGAACCAGGGAAGCUAACUUCAACAGCAGUUAAUGUUGUGUAUUUUGUCCCCUCAAGGUAAAAUUAGGGACCUUGGUAAGUCCUGGGAACUUCCUGCUGAUCAAUUUGCAAAGCCAAUAUGCCUCCUAUUUCUGUCACAAUCCUGCGACAAGGAACCUCUAAAGUCUUCUCAAAGACUCAUGCCUGUAGCCAAAUAGAAUAACUAUUUCUUUAAGUAGUGAUUCAGUUCUGUCAACAGUUUACAGACUGGUGCUGUCCAGCUCCAUGAGUAGUGGGGCAGGAGGACCCACAGAGUUAUGGCUGGGGAAAAGGUAGGGUGAUGGGCCUAAAAACAAAACUAAUUUACUAAGUAAGAUAUUGGAAUGCAAGAUAACACACUAUAGUACAA